This is a long non-coding RNA of Brassica napus (rape), 1514 nucleotides long. RefSeq lists it as uncharacterized. The transcript has 6 exons. The record is from RefSeq and is a predicted model, not a curated record. NCBI's taxonomy places the organism in Eukaryota, Viridiplantae, Streptophyta, Magnoliopsida, Brassicales, Brassicaceae.
GUUGAAAGUCCUUCAGAAACUUUCUUCUUCGGGACAGACGGUGGUGAGAAUUAGGGUAGCCAUGGUCUUCUAUCUCUGCAAUGAAUGAGAUCGAGCAACAAUGGAGAUUUUUCAAAUCGUGUAAGAUGAAUCGUCCUCAAGAACCUUGGUAUCAAGUCGCCGUCGAUUCAUAUUUGGUCCUUCACCCCCAGACGUUACGAGUUGUAUUCAUUCAUCGACUUUAAGUGAUGUCUUAACUUCACCGAUCCAAAUCAAGCACGACGUCUCAUUCAAUGAUACUCUUUCCUACUUUAAGGCGGUUUUCUGUACCUAUAAAAGGGUGUAAUGGAUAAAUCAUAUGUUCUUCUUGCUGAUUUGAAGCCUGGCCUCUGUUCCUCCACCACUGAGGUGUGACUGCUCAGAUUCUGGGAAGGAGAAACAUGUAACGGUGGUGAGCUGAUGGAUACUCCUCCUUGAUGCAAUGUUAUUUCGUUAUUAAACGUCAUGUUCAUAGCAGUUUUAAACUCUUCCGAUUAGACUCUCAUGCCAGCCACCGUGAAUGUCAACCGUCUCGCCACCUGCAGACACCGGCUCAAGGCGGUUCAAAAAUGUUCGCCUUUAGCGGUUUGGAUAUGACUCGGUACAAUCAGAGCUUCAGUAGAAUUUUUGGUUCCAAAUCCUGAAACUGUAAGUUUUGAUUCCCUUACAAAAAGCUUUGCUUAAAAUCUCUUUAAUUCAUAGCUGGUCUUUUUGAGAUAUAUUACAUGUUUAAAGAACAUCAGCUUGAAAGAAUAUAUAAACUCUACAAUAGUUGACCAAUCAUAUCAUUUUUAUAUACUGUCGAAUACACUCUUUCCAUCACGAACAUGUAAACCUGGAUUAUGUAUACGCUGCUGUUGAUGAUUCUGAGGUAUGAUUUUCUCCGCAAUUCUUUGUCCCCCAUUUGUUGCUGGUUGGCAUUGUGUAUAUAAUGGUCUAUGUGACAUAAUACAUUUCAGGAACAAAAAGAUGCACUUGAUGGAACAUGAGACACGGAUCCACUGUCUUUUAAAUGCUAUCUCAAAGCCUGAACCAACUCUUUUUGACCGUGGAAAGGACUACAUGAAGCAUCAGACCAGAUUCAUCUCAAAGAAGCCAGCAAACGUAGUUCUUUAAAGCAUGGAAGUUGUGUCACAGUCCAUGGGGGCUUUAAGAAGCACAUUCAAAAUUAUAAAAUGAUAGUAGAAGGAUUAUUUGCAAAUAAGUCGUCUCAAUUCUACGUCAUUCUAUAACUUUUCUUUAGUCAACGAUGUUUUACAGCUCUACAACACGUUUUGUAUCAAACUGGAUGACAUCAUCUGGAAGCCACCAGAUGCAUCCGUGAGAAAUCGAGCCACCAAGUCCAAGAGUAAAAGACGUUGAAUCCAUGUUUUAUUUAAAGUAGAGUUUUCUGAGUUCUUAACUGCUUUAGUCUGAAUUAAUAUCAUGCUAAUUUUUCUAUAGUUACACACUAUGAACGAUAAAGAGGAAACAGUGAGAUUAGAAGUUAUAACGUA